This 253-nucleotide ribosomal RNA is filed under the name uncultured bacterium. Its description in RNAcentral is "partial 16S ribosomal RNA". It matches the Rfam family "Bacterial small subunit ribosomal RNA", at positions 524 to 776 of the family's 1533-position model. The record is from RNAcentral.
UACGUAGGGUGCAAGCGUUAAUCGGAAUUACUGGGCGUAAAGCGUGCGCAGGCGGUUCUAUAAGACAGAUGUGAAAUCCCCGGGCUCAACCUGGGAACUGCAUUUGUGACUGUAGAGCUGGAGUACGGUAGAGGGGGAUGGAAUUCCGCGUGUAGCAGUGAAGUGCGUAGAUAUGCGGAGGAACACCGAUGGCGAAGGCAAUCCCCUGGACCUGUACUGACGCUCAUGCACGAAAGCGUGGGGAGCAAACCGG